Molecule: ribosomal RNA, 476 nt
Filed under: uncultured Mesorhizobium sp.
Lineage: Bacteria; Pseudomonadati; Pseudomonadota; Alphaproteobacteria; Hyphomicrobiales; Phyllobacteriaceae
Description: bacterial SSU rRNA
Rfam family: Bacterial small subunit ribosomal RNA
Source: RNAcentral
CGCGUGGGGAAUCUACCCAUCACUACGGAACAACUCCGGGAAACUGGAGCUAAUACCGUAUACGUCCUUCGGGAGAAAGAUUUAUCGGUGAUGGAUGAGCCCGCGUUGGAUUAGCUAGUUGGUGGGGUAAUGGCCUACCAAGGCGACGAUCCAUAGCUGGUCUGAGAGGAUGAUCAGCCACACUGGGACUGAGACACGGCCCAGACUCCUACGGGAGGCAGCAGUGGGGAAUAUUGGACAAUGGGCGAAAGCCUGAUCCAGCCAUGCCGCGUGAGUGAUGAAGGCCCUAGGGUUGUAAAGCUCUUUCAACGGUGAAGAUAAUGACGGUAACCGUAGAAGAAGCCCCGGCUAACUUCGUGCCAGCAGCCGCGGUAAUACGAAGGGGGCUAGCGUUGUUCGGAAUUACUGGGCGUAAAGCGCACGUAGGCGGAUUGUUAAGUGAGGGGUGAAAUCCCAGGGCUCAACCCUGGAACUGC